Molecule: non-coding RNA, 72 nt
Organism: Rhizobiales bacterium 62-47
Lineage: Bacteria; Pseudomonadati; Pseudomonadota; Alphaproteobacteria; Hyphomicrobiales
Source: Rfam
UCCCUGGUAGCUCAGUGGUAGAGCAACCGGCUGUUAACCGGUUGGUCGCUGGUUCGAAUCCGGCCCGGGGAG